GGCUUCAUAGAUUUUGUGGAUUCAUUUUUGGAAUAGAAUAGUGAUCUGAUUUCAUUUCUAGGGCAACAUUGAUUUUCUUGUUGUUGUAAUAACAGAGAUGGAGAGUUAUGAGGCUGGUGGUGGUGAACAGAUUUGCAGAAUGAAAAGAGGGAAUUGGGAAUGCAAGAGUGUUAGUGUUGAAAAUGAAUUACAGUAUUGUGAAAAACAUUACAAAGAUUUUACAACCCAGAAGAAGAUGGAGGAGAAGGAGCUUCCUCCAGAUGAAAAGCGUUGUUGUCAAACUAGUUAUAGACAGGAAAUUUAAAAUGGGUCAUGGUACUUCUGCUGCUGCUACUGAUCAAAUUUUGUGAAAAACAUUACUAUGAUUACGCAAAGUAUUAUAAGAAGAAGCUUCUUGAGAAGAAGAAGACAAGUGGAGAUCGUGAAGGUGCAGUUGCAGGUUGUAGUGCUACUGGUGGUCCUAUACAAACUAGGGCUUCCAAACGGAGGAAGAAGGUCACAGAGGAAGAUGACUGGUCCGUUGAUGAAACAGGAGGAGGAAUUCAAUCAGCUACUAGUACUGAUGAUUCUCUGAUAGAAUUGAAGAAAGUGGUUCUCUUAAUAUUGGGAGGAAUAUGAAAGAGAAUGCUGGAGACAACUAGAAUCACUGAUAAGAAUUAGGGAAUGUAUGGUCGAAUUGGAGAGUCUGGAGCAUUAUAAGAGUAAGUGUUUUCAAUUGUCUGUGGCGCUUGACAAGAUGAAAUUAGAGCAUGAGAAGAUGAGAGUGGAGCUUGAGAAGAAGAAAGUGGAGUGCACUACACUCCAGGUUAAAUUCAGAGGUAGAAACUAGAAAGACUGCUGCUACAGAUGAGACUGAACGGGAAACCGCAAAUGCAACUGAAUAUUGUACGAAAAUGAUGUCCGAUUUUGAGAGUCGACUCCUGAGGAUGGAAAAUAAAAAUUCAACAAUGGGAUGUUUAGAGUCUCAGAUUUCGAAUUGGAGAGACUAAACCUGAGAAUGGAAAAUGAAAUUUUCACAAUGGGAUGUGUAGAAUCUCGCAUUUCAAAUUUGGAGAGCCUAGUAUUGAGGAGUAGGAGGAAAGUUCCAUAUUGAGAUGUCUAGAACUGCGUGAUUCUGGAAAAAUAGAGUCUGAAGCGUGGGGUUUGCACAAUGAUGUUGCUCGAGGUGGUGAAAAGCAAAGAGAUAAGCAUAGCAGGGGCACACCUAAUGCUGAAUUUAGCAGUGGAGGGAGGAAGGAUUCUUAUGUGUUCAAGUUUAAAACCAAAGAGAAGGUACUGAAUGCAUAUGGUGUUGAUUCAAUAAACAUCAUGAAUCAGAGUCUGAAUUUUCCAAAUACUCUACUAUGAACAUUUUGUCUGGAAGUCUACAUUUAUCAAGUGGGGAAGAAAACAUUGAGGAAGGUAACUGUUGGGGCUUUUCGGAAGAGAGACCAUCUCAACAUGGAUCAUCAUCUCAAGAUCAACUGGGUUUAAGAUGACUUCUGUGAAAUCGACAGCAUAUAUCUGAAGACAAAAUAUCACCCAAUGUGUUGGUCAUUAACGGUGACAGGCUCAGGUGUACUACUUUGGCCAAGUUUCUAAUGGAUGAGGACAACAGAGGUGACCUAAAGAAGUCCAUGAAAGAGUUAACGACAUUGGAUCCUAAAGAGGUUGACAACUGCAAGAAGCUGUCUAAAAGAUACAUGGUCUACUUAUUCGGUAUCUACGAAAAGUAAAAGGAUCCUUUUUUCUUCCAGCUACAACUGCCAGCCAUGGAAAUCAAACAGCUAAGUGAUAAAUUGUUGUAAAUGGAAGAACAGAUGAAGCAUUUAAGUUGCUUGAUAGAAUGGAAAAUGAGGUUUGUGAUCCAGAUACAAUUACAUUCAGUUUACUGAUCUCUGGACUAGGGAAGCAAGGAAGAGCAGAUGAGGGAGUUGACCGUUUGGAUAGAACGAAAAUGAGUGGGUUCAAACCAAAUUCGGGGUCAUAUCAAGUUUUUCUAUACAGUAUAAUUAAUUCUAAGAAGUUCAUUGAUGCUAAGCAUUUCAUAGAUAGGAAUAGGACGAUGUCAGAGGGAUUUUCGCCCAGUUCUUUUGUCGUACAAGACGGUGAUAGAGGAACUCUGCAACAAUAACCGUUCGGGAGAUGUGGAUUUCGUUUUGAAUCAGAUGAUGCACCAAGGAUUUGUUCCGAAGAUGGGAACAUGGAAAAAGAUUGUCGAAAGCAUUUUCUGAGGAAGGGAAGAACUCGGUAGCCGUAAUAGAAUAUGUCUGUGAGUUUUUGCAUUUAAAUCUUUCUCCUGUUGUUAAGAACUCUGGACUAAGAUUCUGGUAUAGAAAUUUGAGGGAAUAUGCAAAUUGUACCCUAAAAGCUUCAUUUCAACCACUGAUAGGGACUGCUGGUAUAUCCCCUAGUACUGGUAACUCUUGAGUGAGAAUUGGCCACUCGCUGCUAAUGUGGCUCAAAAGUUACCCCUCCAUGUGAUUGGUGGUAACUUGAGUUUAAGCUCGAUCAUCUUUAUUGUUUGGACUUAAAGAGUCUUGCCCAGAAUCACAUGCUGCUGUCUUUCUGACAAUCCUUGCGGCAGAGAGCUCUAAAUCGGUAUUCUUCUAUUUGGAGGCACAACAUGGCCAAGGAAGAUACGUGAUACCGUAACUCACUUUGAAUUGGAUUAAUAGGGUAAGAACAAUGAUAAGGUGGGAGGUAAUGAAGCUGAUGAAUAUUUGAAUUAAAUUUCAGUGUUUUUUUCUACUCAAGAAUUUGGAUAAAUAGGCAAUUAGAUGUACUUUUCUCACAGUAAUUUCACCCUUUUUAACUAUGUGAUUCCUGGUAUAGCAUUUGCUAACUAUACCUAAUUUGUUGGAUGCAGAGUAGCAAGUGUCGAUGUGCUUUUUCUUUCCCUGAUGAACAAUGAUAUACAUAGCACCAAAAGGCUUUCAAGAAAACCAGAUUCAAUUCUCUGUUGAGCAUAGUGUGCCUUCAGGAUGGCAGCUUUUGAGACUUGAUGUCAAUUUGUACCGAAGCCAGGUUGUUCGUCGACAGAGUCCUUUUGCAUCUUCCAUAUACCUACCAUUCCAGAAGAGAUACCAUGCGUCACAAGGCAAAGACUCCUAUCUAGUUCUACAAAGAACGUCGUGUAGUUGCCCUCAUACUCUGCCUUCUGAUGAUCAGGUUCAGGAAUCAAUUUGAAACUCUCAGCUGCCACAUCGAAACACACAAUGUUUUUGGAAGCGAGCCAAUAUAUAGAUCCUUCAACAAACACUGGUUCCGCAUGCUCAUCGGAGUCCUCUAUAAAUGGGUAAGGAAAACUGGGUUGAUAUUGAAUCUUUCUCCAUAACAUGGUGGUACUUAACUCUAAGACCUCACAUUCCAACGAAGAGGUAGAAAGACAUCGUUUCAAUUGAACCACUUUGUAUACAUUCUUUUUUGUGUCAAAACCAAAUCCACAUGCACUUGCCUUCUCUUUUUCUUCUUCAAUCCGAGGUCUCGGAAGCUCUAGUAUUUCCUUGGUAAUUGGGUUCGCCAUAAGCAAAGGAAACUCCCUAUAAAAACACAGCAAGCCGUUGCAGGAAGUCAGUUUCGUUAUCCGACUCUUUGGCACAAAUACUCUGAACUUGUCAGUUGCUGUCAUCUCAUUACUGGGGACAUCUCCGUAAUCCCACAGUUUGUUGAAAAUUGUCCGAUAGAGAUAAAACUCUUGAGCACUAUUUGCAUAGAUGAAAACAAUACCGAUAGAUUGAUUAUUUGCUUUGUGAUGAUCAAAAUGCUGUUUGACGAAUUUUGGAUCUCUGAUUAAUGAUAACCAAUCUUUGCAUACACUCUUGAAUCUCAGUAAGGACUCUGCCGGACUUCUUAACAGAAUUUCAUGGAUGAGAUGUGGAGGAAGAUCUUUUACAAUACUGUCUCUGAAGAAAUCUAUGGUAAUAGGUUCAUGAUGUCAUUGUUGUUUAUUCUGUAUAUUUUGAUGGGAUGACUUAACCAAGAAUUCAUCUUUGAAAGAGUUUGAGAAUCUCUACUGCAGGACUAUGCUUAUAUAGGCUCAACUUUUAACUUUUCAAAUUUCAUUUUCAGAGAGAGACGUGCAACAGUUUCUCUCUUGGAGUGUGUAACUUAAACUACAAGCGCAGGCCGGUCGGGCCAACUUCGGUUGCAUUUUCCAUUUUGGUGUUUGUUUGUUGAA
Papaver somniferum (opium poppy) is the source of this 4159-nucleotide long non-coding RNA. RefSeq lists it as uncharacterized. NCBI's taxonomy places the organism in Eukaryota, Viridiplantae, Streptophyta, Magnoliopsida, Ranunculales, Papaveraceae. The record is from RefSeq and is a predicted model, not a curated record. The transcript is spliced from 5 exons.